AGUUUGAUCCUGGCUCAGAACGAACGCUGGCGGCAGGCUUAACACAUGCAAGUCGAACGCCCCGCAAGGGGAGUGGCAGACGGGUGAGUAACGCGUGGGAACAUACCCUUUUCUACGGAAUAGCUCUGGGAAACUGGAAUUAAUACCGUAUACGCCCUACGGGGGAAAGAUUUAUCGGGGAAGGAUUGGCCCGCGUUGGAUUAGCUAGUUGGUGGGGUAAAGGCCUACCAAGGCGACGAUCCAUAGCUGGUCUGAGAGGAUGAUCAGCCACAUUGGGACUGAGACACGGCCCAAACUCCUACGGGAGGCAGCAGUGGGGAAUAUUGGACAAUGGGCGCAAGCCUGAUCCAGCCAUGCCGCGUGAGUGAUGAAGGCCUUAGGGUUGUAAAGCUCUUUCACCGGUGAAGAUAAUGACGGUAACCGGAGAAGAAGCCCCGGCUAACUUCGUGCCAGCAGCCGCGGUAA
Molecule: ribosomal RNA, 465 nt
Filed under: uncultured bacterium
Lineage: Bacteria
Description: bacterial SSU rRNA
Rfam family: Bacterial small subunit ribosomal RNA
Source: RNAcentral